This 473-nucleotide ribosomal RNA is filed under the name uncultured Desulfobulbus sp. RNAcentral's name for it is "bacterial SSU rRNA". It matches the Rfam family "Bacterial small subunit ribosomal RNA", at positions 916 to 1381 of the family's 1533-position model. Lineage: Bacteria; Pseudomonadati; Thermodesulfobacteriota; Desulfobulbia; Desulfobulbales; Desulfobulbaceae. The record is from RNAcentral.
ACGGGGCCCGGCACAAGCGGUGGAGUAUGUGGUUAAUUCGAUGCAACGCGAAGAACCUUACCUGGUCUUGACAUCCCGGAGACCCUUAGGAAACUAGGGGUGCUUCCAUCUGGAAGAAUCUGGAGACAGGUGCUGCAUGGCUGUCGUCAGCUCGUGUCGUGAGAUGUUGGGUUAAGUCCCGCAACGAGCGCAACCCUUGCCUUUAGUUGCCAGCAGUUCGGCUGGGCACUCUAAAGGGACCGCCGGUGUUAAACCGGAGGAAGGUGGGGAUGACGUCAAGUCCUCAUGGCCUUUAUGACCAGGGCUACACACGUACUACAAUGGCCGAUACAAAGGGCAGCGACACUGCGAGGUGAAGCCAAUCCCGUAAAAUCGGUCUCAGUCCGGAUUGGAGUCUGCAACUCGACUCCAUGAAGUUGGAAUCGCUAGUAAUCGUGGAUCAGCAUGCCACGGUGAAUACGUUCCCGGGCCUU